GGGACAGCCGGGCCAGGGGGCGCGGUAGUACGUGGGGGGCUGGCGGUGUCCGGAUUUAUUGGGCGUAUAGGUCGUGUAGGCGGCCUGACAGGUCUGCUGGGAAAACUCGAGGCUCAACCUCGAGAUGUCGGCGGAAACCGUCUGGCUAGAGUCCGGAAGAGGAGAGUGGAAUUCCUGGUGUAGCGGUGAAAUGCGCAGAUAUCAGGAAGAACACCUAUGGCGAAGGCAGCUCUCUGGGACGGUACUGACGCUGAGACGCGAAAGCGUGGGGAGCGAACAGGAUUAGAUACCCCUGUAGUC
This 300-nucleotide ribosomal RNA is filed under the name uncultured Halobaculum sp. RNAcentral's name for it is "bacterial SSU rRNA". It matches the Rfam family "Bacterial small subunit ribosomal RNA", at positions 495 to 795 of the family's 1533-position model. Lineage: Archaea; Methanobacteriati; Methanobacteriota; Halobacteria; Halobacteriales; Haloferacaceae. The record is from RNAcentral.